Molecule: ribosomal RNA, 253 nt
Filed under: uncultured bacterium
Lineage: Bacteria
Description: partial 16S ribosomal RNA
Rfam family: Bacterial small subunit ribosomal RNA
Source: RNAcentral
UACGAAGGGGGCUAGCGUUGUUCGGAGUUACUGGGCGUAAAGGGCGCGUAGGCGGCGCACCAAGUCAGGCGUGAAAGCCCUGGGCUCAACCCGGGAAUUGCGCUUGAGACUGGUGUGCUUGAGUACGGGAGAGGAUAGUGGAAUUCCCAGUGUAGAGGUGAAAUUCGUAGAUAUUCGGAAGAACACCAGUGGCGAAGGCGGCUCACUGGCCCGGUACCGACGCUGAGGUGCGAAAGCGUGGGGAGCAAACAGG